This is a long non-coding RNA of Marmota monax (woodchuck), 970 nucleotides long. RefSeq lists it as uncharacterized. The transcript is spliced from 4 exons. NCBI's taxonomy places the organism in Eukaryota, Metazoa, Chordata, Mammalia, Rodentia, Sciuridae. The record is from RefSeq and is a predicted model, not a curated record.
UUUACACCAGAGUCCAAGGAGAGGCACACUUCCAAGAGCCCUGUACACACUGCUCUGUGGGAAGCCAGGGUGAGGAGCUGUCCCGGAGCAGCCUGGUGGAACUGGCAAGCGGGGGCAGGAGCUGUGGCAGGGACCCUCAGUGGAAGAAGCACAGCAGAGGAAGCAAAGAGACCACCACUGCGUGGACCAGAGGAAGUAGGAGAGCUUUGGAAGGGGCCAUGAAUGGCAAGGUGCAGAACAGAAUUCUAAGCAAAGAGGAUCUCUGGGAUCUGUAAGGUGCCAUAUAUCCAAUUUGUUUCUUCAAGACAAAGAACCUCUAGUGUGAAGCUAACGUGCUGGUUAUGCAGGAGACAUGAACCCAUCAUAUUCUGCUUGGAAAGAGGAGCUCACUGUGUUAAGUCAGGACCUGCAGCAUGCACUCACUACCCAUCGCCCUCUCGGGAGCACCAGCCAUCUAAAUGCUGAGGACACUUCCAUGAAAUGAUUGGCGGUCUAUGCAGCUGACAAAGAAUUCCCUGAAAGAGCCAAGAGAGACUCAGAGAGGCAAAGAGGAAGGAGAAGUAGCUGGUAUAACAGAUCCGAGGCGAUGGGCACAGCAGGCCUCCACCUCAGGUCAAGAGCAGGGGAGAAGCCAAGCAGGUGCCACUCACUGCUGAAGAACAUGUGCCCAGGAGCAUGAAGAAGUGGCUGAGGACCUGCUGGAGCCCCUGGCCUACUCCUUCCCUUCUUGUCUGCACACAACCUUGCCUCCUGCUUCAGGGGAAGUAGGAGCCAUCAAGGAGAACUCCCAGAGUUUUCUACUUCCCCACAGCAAACGCAUCUCCACCCAUAAUUGUCUCUCCUCUCACAGGACACGAGAGAGCAACUUCCCUCUGCUCCCAGGCCAUCCUGACACAGACCCUCAUUACUGCCCUGUCUCCUAUUUGUAAUUCUCCCCCACUCUGCCUCCAGAAAACAUUGGCUACAUUAA